RNAcentral lists this ribosomal RNA (1041 nucleotides) under Jerzego corticicola. RNAcentral's name for it is "eukaryotic LSU rRNA". It matches the Rfam family "Eukaryotic large subunit ribosomal RNA", at positions 100 to 867 of the family's 3401-position model. Lineage: Eukaryota; Metazoa; Arthropoda; Arachnida; Araneae; Salticidae. The record is from RNAcentral.
GGGAGUAGCCCAGCGCCGAAUCCCCGACCGUCCUGGUCGGGGACCUGUGGCGUUUAGGAGUGAGCGUGCCGAGUUCGGAGAGGGCAGCAAGUUCCCCUGACCGGGACCUAUCCGUAGCGGGUGCGAGGCCCAUAGCCGCCCCCUCCGUCUCGGAUGCGAUCUCCUGGGAGUCGGGUUGCUUGGGAGUGCAGCCCCAAUCGGGUGGUAAACUCCACCUAAGGCUAAAUACCGCCGUCAGACCGAUAGCAAACAAGUACCGUGAGGGAAAGUUGCAAAGAACUUUGAAGAGAGAGUUCAAGAGUACGUGAAACUGCUUAGAGGUAAACGGGUGGGCCCUCGAAAUCCUGUGGCGAGAGGAUUCAGUCUGGCGUCGCGGGCGCGCAGGUCGGAAGAUCGGAAGGGCUUCCCUGUGCAGGGGCCGUCCGUCCGCGCGACUCUCUCGUCGCCAGACGCAUUUGUCUCUCGUCCGAAGGACGCUGCAGCCGGUCGGGCAGAGCAAGCGCGACGGCCUGAAGGGCGGGAGCUGGCAGGUGGCCGCUGGCGUGCCUCGGCGCGUCGGCGGUUGUUAGCCGUCCCGUCGGUGGCUCGUCGCCCGACCGAGGUGUCGCGAGGCCGCGUUCGUGGCCUCUCCGUCUCCUCUCCUCGGAGAUGCGGGACAGACCGUCGCAGGCGAAAUCCGCCGUCCCGUCGCACUCCCUCGGAGUGGUCGGGCGAACGGAGGGCGCCGUUGGUGACGGCGGACCCGUGGGAGGUCGGAGGCUUGCAGCGAGUAGGUCGGUCACCCACCCGACCCGUCUUGAAACACGGACCAAGGAGUCUAACAUGUGCGCGAGUCAAUGGGUCUUGAACAGGCCCAGGGGCGCAAUGAAAGCAAAGGUCGGCCCCAGUCGACCGAGUCGGGAUCCCGUCCCCCUCCGGGGAUGGGCGCACCGACGACCCGUCCUAUCCGGCUCGCCGGUUGGGCGGAGUGUGAGCGUACACGUUGGGACCCGAAAGAUGGUGAACUAUGCCCGGACAGGACGAGGCCAGAGGAAACUCUGG